GAUUCGUCACACUAUCAUUAACUGAAUCCAUAGGUUAAUGAGGCGAACCGGGGGAACUGAAACAUCUAAGUACCCCGAGGAAAAGAAAUCAACCGAGAUUCCCCCAGUAGCGGCGAGCGAACGGGGAGGAGCCCAGAGCCUGAAUCAGCAUGUGUGUUAGUGGAAGCGUCUGGAAAGGCGCGCGAUACAGGGUGACAGCCCCGUACACAAAAGCGCAUGUGCUGUGAGCUCGAUGAGUAGGGCGGGACACGUGGUAUCCUGUCUGAAUAUGGGGGGACCAUCCUCCAAGGCUAAAUACUCCUGACUGACCGAUAGUGAACCAGUACCGUGAGGGAAAGGCGAAAAGAACCCCGGCGAGGGGAGUGAAAAAGAACCUGAAACCGUGUACGUACAAGCAGUGGGAGCACCCUUCGGGGUGUGACUGCGUACCUUUUGUAUAAUGGGUCAGCGACUUAUAUUCUGUAGCAAGGUUAACCGUAUAGGGGAGCCGGAGGGAAACCGAGUCUUAACCGGGCGUUAAGUUGCAGGGUAUAGACCCGAAACCCGGUGAUCUAGCCAUGGGCAGGUUGAAGGUUGGGUAACACUAACUGGAGGACCGAACCGACUAAUGUUGAAAAAUUAGCGGAUGACCUGUGGCUGGGGGUGAAAGGCCAAUCAAACCGGGAGAUAGCUGGUUCUCCCCGAAAGCUAUUUAGGUAGCGCCUCGUGAAUUCAUCUCCGGGGGUAGAGCACUGUUUCGGCUAGGGGGCCAUCCCGGCUUACCAACCCGAUGCAAACUGCGAAUACCGGAGAAUGUUAUCACGGGAGACACACGGCGGGUGCUAACGUCCGUCGUGAAGAGGGAAACAACCCAGACCGCCAGCUAAGGUCCCAAAGUCAUGGUUAAGUGGGAAACGAUGUGGGAAGGCCCAGACAGCCAGGAUGUUGGCUUAGAAGCAGCCAUCAUUUAAAGAAAGCGUAAUAGCUCACUGGUCGAGUCGGCCUGCGCGGAAGAUGUAACGGGGCUAAACCAUGCACCGAAGCUGCGGCAGCGAACGUAUCACCCAAGACAACUUUACGGAGUUGACGAUUGACGGAGCGAAGCGACGUCAAAGCGUUCAUUAAAGUCGAGUUGGCUUAGGGAUACGUU
Molecule: ribosomal RNA, 1129 nt
Filed under: Salmonella enterica
Lineage: Bacteria; Pseudomonadati; Pseudomonadota; Gammaproteobacteria; Enterobacterales; Enterobacteriaceae
Description: partial 23S ribosomal RNA
Rfam family: Bacterial large subunit ribosomal RNA
Source: RNAcentral